This 438-nucleotide ribosomal RNA is filed under the name Bacteroidetes bacterium SCGC AAA027-N21. RNAcentral describes it as "bacterial SSU rRNA". It matches the Rfam family "Bacterial small subunit ribosomal RNA", at positions 354 to 787 of the family's 1533-position model. Lineage: Bacteria; Pseudomonadati; Bacteroidota. The record is from RNAcentral.
GUGAGGAAUAUUUGGUCAAUGGGCGCAAGCCUGAACCAGCCAUGCCGCGUGCAGGAUGACGGUCCUAUGGAUUGUAAACUGCUUUUGUACAGGAAGAAACAACUCUACGUGUAGAGUCUUGACGGUACUGUAAGAAUAAGGAUCGGCUAACUCCGUGCCAGCAGCCGCGGUAAUACGGAGGAUCCAAGCGUUAUCCGGAAUCAUUGGGUUUAAAGGGUCCGUAGGCGGCUUAAUAAGUCAGUGGUGAAAGCCCUACGCUUAACGUAGGAACGGCCAUUUGAUACUGUUAGGCUUGAAUUAUUAGGAAGUAACUAGAAUAUGUAGUGUAGCGGUGAAAUGCUUAGAGAUUACAUGGAAUACCAAUUGCGAAGGCAGGUUACUACUAAUGGAUUGACGCUGAUGGACGAAAGCGUGGGUAGCGAACAGGAUUAGAUACCC